GUCAAGUCAUCAUGGCCCUUAUGUCCAGGGCUACACACGUGCUACAAUGGCAUAUUCAAAGGGACGCGCGGCAGUGAUGCUUAGCGAAUCUCAUAAAGUAUGCCUCAGUUCGGAUUGCAGUCUGCAACUCGACUGCAUGAAGUCGGAAUCGCUAGUAAUCGCAGGUCAGCCAAACUGCGGUGAAUACGUUCCCGGGCCUU
This 200-nucleotide ribosomal RNA is filed under the name uncultured prokaryote. RNAcentral describes it as "partial 16S ribosomal RNA". It matches the Rfam family "Bacterial small subunit ribosomal RNA", at positions 1184 to 1382 of the family's 1533-position model. The record is from RNAcentral.